RNAcentral lists this long non-coding RNA (1038 nucleotides) under Sorghum bicolor (sorghum). RNAcentral's name for it is "long non-coding RNA (SBIC_LNC007011)". The record is from RNAcentral. Lineage: Eukaryota; Viridiplantae; Streptophyta; Magnoliopsida; Poales; Poaceae.
ACCACAGCCAAAUACUCAUGCUUACUAAAUUAGGAAAACCUUCACUUAUAUUUCAACCUAUAAGCAUUGAGGGUAGUUAAGUUGUGCAGACCCUAGGGAACUAGUCAUGCAGUUAAAGUCAAUAUUAUGUGCUCUCCAUCCAUUGAUCUUAGCUACUUCUAUCCUCAAAAAGUAUGCAACCACUUACAUCCACCACAUUCACUAUGUGCUACUUCCGUUCCUAGAAGUACCACCCACAUAUACGCACUACACUCUAUGAUGUUUCUAUCCUAGAGACACGCACCUAUGCUACUACAACCCUGGGAGUAUGCAUUCAUUCACCCAUACACAUUCCACAUUCACUUAGAAAAUGUUCUACUCCUACACUGGGAGAAUAUACCCCCAAAAAUAUUCAAUGUCUUAUUUUACUUAUCCAAUAAAGCUCUAGAUAUUUCAGUUGAUACUCCCUACUGUUAUCAGUGCAUUAAAAGAGUUGGCUGAUCUAUAAAAAAAGAGAGAAAAAAAGAAAGAAAGAGGACAAAAGUCCUAAAGCAAAAGAAUUAUCCCCAAGGAGCAACUAUAGAAUUAGAUGUUCACUAUCAGUUAUCACCCCUCAUAACCACUUUCAUUCUUAUCAUUCACUUCAUUCACUGCACUCACAUGCACAUAUGACUUGAUUGUAUAAUUAGUUUCUCUGGAUCCACGGUUUAACUUCGCAAUAAAUGCAAGUAGGUUUGAAUUGUCUUUCCCACCUAUAAGCUCCACAUAAGCCUAUUAGAAGUAGGGUGAGAGAGAGAGAAGGCAUAUUCACUUGCCAUGGAGAGGAUCCAAAAAUACCCCAAAUGAGAGACUGAAAAGUGUCAUACAAGGAAACUUUGAGUUUUAUUUGAAAAUCUUGCAAAACUCUGGAAUGAUAGUUGAUCAAAGAGCAAGUACCAUAGUGCUUGACUUAACUGUUCUAUCUUUCAACUGCCCAAGACCUAAGUGAUAGCUAUAAGCUCCAUGGUGAAAGGUAAAAUGAGUGAGUCUUGAGUUAGAAUAGUUCACUCUAAUCUGGAG